UUAAGAAACCGUGCAGCUUGUUCCAGACAAACAGGGUUAAACUGUAAAGUGCAGCCGAGCUAAUGACAGAGCAACAGCCUCCAGAUGAUUCAGCAUUUAUGAUUAUUUAUAGAGGCUUCAGUCUACUUCAGACUAAGUGCCUGUGGGAUCAUCUAACAGCGUCUGAAACCUCCCUCUCCGACAGCUGCAAUCUUUGUCACUUCGAGGAGAGACUGUGCGCCGUUAUCCCCAUUUGUAUCAUUCAGGAGUACAAAGACAAAGAGUAGUUGGACAGAGCUCAGGAUGCCGGUGGGAUGCAGCCAGGAGGAGUCCGCAAGUCUUUUCACUCUGCUUUUCAGUGAUGACGACAUCAGCUCCUCACCUGUCUCCCUGUCGGUGGGCGUGGCCCGGCUGAUGGGGAGGACUAAUGACAGAGACAGGAAAUGUCUCCUUUGGAUGCUCUGACUGGCGAGCAUGAGGAAGAGGAUGGCAGCGAUCACCAGGGCAACGCACAGCUUCCUCCUCAACAACAUGGCUGGACGGACGAUGAGCGAGCGGUGGCGGGACGUGAUGAGCUGUUAUCCGUUCAGCCUGCUAUGUCAGCAUAUUUGGAAUGUGACGUCUGUUGUCAUCUGGACAUUUUCCCCUGUUCUGUCAUCUCUCCACUCAGCUUUAUCUCCAUGAAGCCUGAGUGUGAAACAAAACCUCCUGUGCUGUGAACCACGCUGCUUCCGAUUGAUGGAGACUGGAUUUGUGGUCACACCUG
Morone saxatilis (striped sea-bass) is the source of this 745-nucleotide long non-coding RNA. RefSeq lists it as uncharacterized. The transcript has 2 exons. Lineage: Eukaryota; Metazoa; Chordata; Actinopteri; Moronidae. The record is from RefSeq and is a predicted model, not a curated record.